GAUGAACGCUGGCGGCGUGCCUAAUACAUGCAAGUCGAGCGAACAGACGAGGAGCUUGCUCCUCUGACGUUAGCGGCGGACGGGUGAGUAACACGUGGAUAACCUACCUAUAAGACUGGGAUAACUUCGGGAAACCGGAGCUAAUACCGGAUAACAUGUUGAACCGCAUGGUUCAACAGUGAAAGACGGUCUUGCUGUCACUUAUAGAUGGAUCCGCGCCGCAUUAGCUAGUUGGUAAGGUAACGGCUUACCAAGGCAACGAUGCGUAGCCGACCUGAGAGGGUGAUCGGCCACACUGGAACUGAGACACGGUCCAGACUCCUACGGGAGGCAGCAGUAGGGAAUCUUCCGCAAUGGGCGAAAUCCUGACGGAGCAACGCCGCGUGAGUGAAGAAGGUCUUCUGAUCGUAAAACUCUGUUAUUAGGGAAGAACAAAUGUGUAAGUAACUAUGCACGUCUUGACGGUACCUAAUCAGAAAGCCACGGCUAACUACGUG
Molecule: ribosomal RNA, 497 nt
Filed under: uncultured bacterium
Lineage: Bacteria
Description: partial 16S ribosomal RNA
Rfam family: Bacterial small subunit ribosomal RNA
Source: RNAcentral